CCUACGGGUGGCAGCAGUGAGGAAUAUUGGUCAAUGGGCGGGAGCCUGAACCAGCCAAGCCGCGUGAGGGAAGAAGGUACAGCGUAUUGUAAACCUCUUUUGUCAGGGAACAAAGGCGGGGACUAGUCCCCGGAUGAGGGUAUCUGAAGAAAAAGCAUCGCCUAACUCCUUGCCAGCAGCCGCGGUAAUACGGAGGAUGCGAGCGUUAUCCGGAUGUAUUGGGUUUAAAGGGUGCGCAGGCGGCCUGUUAAGUCAGCGGUAAAAGCCCGGGGCUCAACCCCGGCGAGCCGUUGAAACUGGCGGGCUGGAGUUGGAGAGAAGUACGCGGAAUGCGCGGUGUAGCGGUGAAAUGAUUAGAUAUCGCGCAGAACCCCGAUUGCGAAGGCAGCGUACCGGCUCCACACUGACGCUGAGGCACGAAAGCGUGGGUAUCGAACAGGAUUAGAUACCCUUGUAGUC
Molecule: ribosomal RNA, 459 nt
Filed under: uncultured bacterium
Lineage: Bacteria
Description: partial 16S ribosomal RNA
Rfam family: Bacterial small subunit ribosomal RNA
Source: RNAcentral